This is a non-coding RNA of Python bivittatus (Burmese python), 2377 nucleotides long. Lineage: Eukaryota; Metazoa; Chordata; Lepidosauria; Squamata; Pythonidae. The record is from RefSeq and is a predicted model, not a curated record.
AUGAUGUAAUAAUUCCCAUUAACAGCAAAAGAAUAAGCCCAAAGAGCCACCAAAAGUACCAAAAUCUGCACCAUUCUUCAUUCCUACUGUUCCUGGUCUUAUACCACAAUACGCUUCUGUUGAGCAUGAAAGUGAUGGACAGCAGUCAAAAGUGGUAAAUCUUGGAAUAUUGGCUCAAAAAUCUGAAUUCUACUUGCAGCUUGAAGAAGCAUUAAAAAGUAGCAACUAUAAAUCUCCACUGAAUAUUCUGAAGGAUAUGGGACCAUCUAAUAUUGAGACAGAACUGAGAGGCUUGUCACCAGAUGGUGGUGGCUCUAUUGAAGUGAUGCAAAGUUUCCUAAGAAUGAUUGAAGCAAUGCUGAAUACAAAAUGUGACUUUGAACUAGCUCAGGCAUACCUUGCAUUGUUUCUAAAGUUGCAUUUUAAAAUCAUUUGUUCAGAGUCUGCUUUGUUGGCGGAAAUAUCCAGGCUGUCAACCCAACUUGAAGAAAUCUGGAUCCAUUUGCAGACUCUAUUCAACCAAAGCAUUUGCAUUUUAAAUUACAUUAAGACAGCUCUGUUAUAAAGUACCUUUUGUUCUGUAAGAUUCAAGAUGUUGAAUCUUUAAUUUCUUGUACAAAGCACAUCUAAUAAUGGGUAUUGUACAUCAAGUUUUUAAAAUGUUAUCAGUAUAACUUGACUUUUUGUUCAGAUUUAAAUACAAAUCUAGUAUCUUCAUAAACUAGUAAUGUGUAUUCUAUUUAAAUAACUACAAGUAUAAUAAAGUUCUCUGUCUUAAAACAAGUUUAAUAUAGAAAAAAUAUUCAGUAUGCAAAAAUGAAAUAAAUUACAAGGGUUCAUGAAUGUUCUGGGAUUCUUUAAUGUGGAGAGAACUAUCCUAGUGGUUUGAGUGGGGACCAGUGAGAGCCCUUUGAAAUUGUGGGAUAAGAAAAAUGGUAAGAAGUAAAAAUGUGAAUGGUUGAAUGUAGUAAUAAUAAUAAUAAUAAUAAUAAUGUUAGCGUUCAUAACUUUGGUUUUCUAGUCUGCGCUCUCUCAAAGGGCAGAAGGCCAGGAAGGUGGGGCCUGCUGGAUCUCAGGGGCAGAAUGUUCCAGAGGGCAGGGGCAUUUGCCAAAAAGGUGUGCUGUCUAGGUCCCACUAGGUGGCAACAUUUGAGUGAAGGGAGCAAGGCCCCCAUACCCACAGCUGCCACCUGGUCUUCAAGCAGGAGCUGCAAGACCAGGAGGACCCCCAAAUUGUGUACGAGCUCUGUCCAGGGGAACGCAAACCCUGGCAAGAGUCAGUGAUGAUAUCUCAGCCAAACCAAAAACCCAGAGUCACUUUGUCUUGCUAGGUUGGAGUCAAAGCCGAUUCCUCCCCAUCCAGACCCUUACAGCCUCCAGAUACUGGGCCAACACUGGGACAGUGUUGCUUAGUCGGACAGGGGUGGAGUUGUAUAACUGGGUAAUAUUUUUCAACACUGAAAAAUAGUUUUCAGUGUUGGUGGAAGAGCUAAAAAGUGGUGUGAUGUCAGUGUACUUUUUUAUUUCCACCAAAAUUAUUUUGCGUUUUUUCUACUUUGAAUCAUAAAAACUACUUGUUCUCUCUAAUUGCCUUCUAGGAAAAUACUUGUCCACAUUUUAUACAUUUCUAUUUCAGUCAUUUUUUUUGCAUCAUUCUCUUACAUUUUCUUCAUCCUCAUCUUUGAUGUCAUCAUUCUACCAGGCAUUAUUUCUUCUUACUUCCGUUUAAUAUAAUUCCAUAUACUUUGGUGGCAUUUUGGAUUGUAAUUCUUUCACUCUGAUGCAUCUCGCUUAAAUCUACUUUCAUUCAUUCUGUUUUCAUACACAGCUAGUAUUGUCUGUUCUUGAAAUCAUUCUUUUACUCUAGUUUCUUUUACUUCUUUUCUUCCUUGUCCAUUUUUCCCAAGUUCCACUGUUAACACUACCUAAAAAUUGUUUGUCUCACAUUUAGAUCCUUUCAUCACACUUAAAUCUUCACUCUUAGUCUUGAAGCGUAUCUGUGAUGGAAACCAAUCUUGCUUUUAGAUUUAUUCCUUUGCCAUGGUUAUGCAUUAAUAUAAAUGUUUGGACUACAUAUAUGAAAUAUAUCUGUAUAUAUAAUGUGUGUGUGUGUAUACAUACACAUAUACAUACAUACAUAUACACACAUACAGUUCCAAUCAAAGAGUAUAUAUGUAACUCAUGGUUGAACUGUGGAGUCCUUGGUGCUCUCUGAGCUUGGUUGUUUGCAGACUUUCCAUUACCCAGCUACCUUUCCAUUACCCAGCUAGGUGACAUCAUGAGUGCAAAUGAAUGUGGGAUUUGCUACCUGUUUAUAUACAGUAACUUGUCCUGUCAGUGUUGGUGGGGUUUUUCCCUUGGUAGUUCCUUGAUUUGG